AUCCAGCUGAAGAGUCUCAAGUAGGACGACACACGUGUCCUGCAU
This is a non-coding RNA of Schistosoma mattheei, 45 nucleotides long. The record is from Rfam. Lineage: Eukaryota; Metazoa; Platyhelminthes; Trematoda; Strigeidida; Schistosomatidae.